UACAGAGGGGGCAAGCGUUAUUCGGAAUUAUUGGGCGUAAAGGGCGCGUAGGCGGCUUUGCAAGUGACGGGUGAAAGCCCUCGGCUUAACCGAGGAACUGCCUGUCAGACUGUAAGGCUUGAGACCGGGAGAGGUGAGUGGAAUUCCCAGUGUAGCGGUGAAAUGCGUAGAUAUUGGGAGGAACACCAGUGGCGAAGGCGGCUCAUUGGACCGGAACUGACGCUGAGGCGCGAAAGCGUGGGGAGCGAACAGG
RNAcentral lists this ribosomal RNA (253 nucleotides) under uncultured bacterium. RNAcentral describes it as "partial 16S ribosomal RNA". It matches the Rfam family "Bacterial small subunit ribosomal RNA", at positions 524 to 776 of the family's 1533-position model. The record is from RNAcentral.